GGAAUAUAAGAACCCGUCUCUUAACUUUUAACUAAAAAAGCUAAGAACUGGUUCUUAAAUAAGAGUUUUAAGAGCCGGUUAUUAACUUUUUAGUUAAAAAUUAAGAGACGGAUUCUUAUAUUCC
This 124-nucleotide microRNA precursor is filed under the name Brassica oleracea var. oleracea. Its description in RNAcentral is "MIR9563 microRNA precursor family". It matches the Rfam family "MIR9563 microRNA precursor family". The record is from Rfam by way of RNAcentral. Lineage: Eukaryota; Viridiplantae; Streptophyta; Magnoliopsida; Brassicales; Brassicaceae.